GAUGAACGCUGGCGGCGUGCUUAACACAUGCAAGUCGAACGAAGCACUUUAUUUGAUUUCCUUCGGGACUGAUUAUUUUGUGACUGAGUGGCGGACGGGUGAGUAACGCGUGGGUAACCUGCCUUGUACAGGGGGAUAACAGUUGGAAACGGCUGCUAAUACCGCAUAAGCGCACAGCAUCGCAUGAUGCAGUGUGAAAAACUCCGGUGGUAUAAGAUGGACCCGCGUUGGAUUAGCUAGUUGGUGAGGUAACAGCCCACCAAGGCGACGAUCCAUAGCCGACCUGAGAGGGUGACCGGCCACAUUGGGACUGAGACACGGCCCAAACUCCUACGGGAGGCAGCAGUGGGGAAUAUUGCACAAUGGGCGAAAGCCUGAUGCAGCGACGCCGCGUGAGCGAAGAAGUAUUUCGGUAUGUAAAGCUCUAUCAGCAGGGAAGAUAAUGACGGUACCUGACGAAGAAGCACCGGCUAAAUACGUG
Molecule: ribosomal RNA, 481 nt
Filed under: uncultured bacterium
Lineage: Bacteria
Description: partial 16S ribosomal RNA
Rfam family: Bacterial small subunit ribosomal RNA
Source: RNAcentral